UGCCAGCCGCCGCGGUAAUACAGAGGGUGCGAGCGUUAAUCGGAAUUACUGGGCGUAAAGCGUGCGUAGGUGGCAUAGUAAGUCAGAUGUGAAAACCCAGGGCUCAACCUUGGACUUGCAUUUGAAACUACUAAGCUAGAGUUUGGGAGAGGAGAGUGGAAUUUCCGGUGUAGCGGUGAAAUGCGUAGAUAUCGGAAGGAACACCAGUGGCGAAGGCGGCUCUCUGGACCAACACUGACACUGAGGUACGAAAGCGUGGGGAGCGAACAGGAUUAGAUA
Molecule: ribosomal RNA, 279 nt
Filed under: uncultured bacterium
Lineage: Bacteria
Description: partial 16S ribosomal RNA
Rfam family: Bacterial small subunit ribosomal RNA
Source: RNAcentral